ACGGCUCAGUAACACGUAGUUAACCUAACCUAUGGAUGGGGAUAACCUCGGGAAACUGAGAAUAAUCCCCGAUAGAUCACAAUGCCUGGAAUGGUUUGUGGUUGAAAUGAUUUAUCGCCGUAGGAUGGGACUGCGGCCUAUCAGCUAGUUGGUGAGGUAAUGGCCCACCAAGGCUAUAACAGGUACGGGCUCUGAGAGGAGGGGCCCGGAGAUGGGUACUGAGACACGGACCCAGGCCCUAUGGGGCGCAGCAGGCGAGAAACCUUUGCAAUGUGCGAAAGCACGACAAGGUUAAUCCGAGUGUCUUCUGCUAAAGAAGUCUUUUGUUAGUCAUAGAACCACUGAUGAAUAAGGGGUGGGCAAGUUCUGGUGUCAGCCGCCGCGGUAAAACCAGCACCUCGAGUGGUCAGGAGGUUUAUUGGGCCUAAAGCAUCCGUAGCCGGUUGUUUAAGUUUUCGGUUAAAUCUAUGCGCUUAACGUAUAGGCUGCCGAAAAUACUGGACAGCUAGGGAGUGGGAGAGGUACACGGUACUCAAUAGGAAGGGGUAAAAUCCUUUGAUCUGUUGAUGACCACCUGUGGCGAAGGCGGUGUACCAGAACACGUUCGACGGUGAGGGAUGAAAGCUGGGGGAGCAAACCGGAUUAGAUACCCGGGUAGUCCCAGCUGUAAACGAUGCAGACUCGUGGAUGGGGGUGGGCUUUGCGCCAACCCAGUGCCGCAGGGAAGCCGUUAAGUCUGCCGCCUGGGGAGUACGGUCGCAAGACUGAAACUUAAAGGAAUUGGCGGGGGAG
Molecule: ribosomal RNA, 792 nt
Filed under: uncultured archaeon
Lineage: Archaea
Description: bacterial SSU rRNA
Rfam family: Archaeal small subunit ribosomal RNA
Source: RNAcentral